RNAcentral lists this ribosomal RNA (253 nucleotides) under uncultured bacterium. RNAcentral describes it as "partial 16S ribosomal RNA". It matches the Rfam family "Bacterial small subunit ribosomal RNA", at positions 524 to 776 of the family's 1533-position model. The record is from RNAcentral.
GACGUAGGGCGCGAGCGUUGUCCGGAUUUAUUGGGCGUAAAGAGCUCGUAGGCGGCUUGUCGCGUCGACUGUGAAAACCCGGGGCUUAACUGCGGGACUGCAGUCGAUACGGGCAGGCUAGAGUUCGGUAGGGGAGACUGGAAUUCCUGGUGUAGCGGUGAAAUGCGCAGAUAUCAGGAGGAACACCGGUGGCGAAGGCGGGUCUCUGGGCGGACACUGACGCUGAGGAGCGAAAGCGUGGGGAGCGAACAGG